This 951-nucleotide ribosomal RNA is filed under the name Niphargus irlandicus. RNAcentral describes it as "eukaryotic LSU rRNA". It matches the Rfam family "Eukaryotic large subunit ribosomal RNA", at positions 394 to 952 of the family's 3401-position model. Lineage: Eukaryota; Metazoa; Arthropoda; Malacostraca; Amphipoda; Niphargidae. The record is from RNAcentral.
AGACCGUGAAACCGCUCAGAGUAUAAGCCAAUGGAGCUUGGAAGGCUUCCACAGUACGAGGCAUCUCACGAGGUGUUCUCACAGGCCACAUGCGACGUUCGCUAGGUAGGAGAAUUUGAGUAUUCCACCGCCGACGAACGGGCGUUGCGCUCUGGAGUUCCUUGUCUUUCGGGGCUUGGGAUUUUGGGGCCUUCGCUUGAGUACGGGCGUUCUUAGCUCGUGGUCUAAUGUGGUUAUGCCCACCACAGCACGUUGUGAGGUCACCCACAGGCUCAAACUGCCGAUCGCGUAUCCACGGACGAUGGCAAAGAUGCGUUGUACUGCCUCGAGCAAUCGAGCGACCUAACGCGUGUCUAGUCCUGGGUCGGGCGGCGACCGAGUUAAAAUCCUGGUACGAUCCUCAAGCGACGAGCUGCUUUCUGGCCAGACCGACGUCCCGUCACUUCCCUGUGCCGGAGGUGCGCGUGUGCUGUCUGAGGCCCGCUAAGUUAUGCAAGUCUCUCAGCCGGGCGUUGGUCUGAGUGGUGUUAAGUCCAGCACCAUCGGUCACGUCUCGAAACACGGGCCAAGGAGUAUAGCAUGUGUGCAAGUCUAAGGGUCUCACAAAACCCGCAGGCGAAGUGAAAGCAAGACCGAGGCGGGGGAGCUACGGCGAACCCGCCGGCCUGGUGGCUUUACCGUUACCGGCUUUUGUCAGAGCUGAUCCUGCAAUCGGUUAAAUCUUGGUGCAGGCGCAAGCUCCGGGCUCACGUACCGCACUGGUCACGCUUGUCGUGGCUGUGUUGUGAGCACCGUGGAGCAUGCAUGCUAUAACCCGAAAGAUAGUGAACUAUGCCUGGCGAGGGCGAAGCCCCAGGAAACUGGGGUGGAGGCCCGUAGCCGUUGUGACGUGCAAAUCCAUGGUAUCAGUUGGGCAUAGGGGCGAAAGACCAAUCGAACUAUCUAGUAGCU